This 492-nucleotide ribosomal RNA is filed under the name uncultured bacterium. RNAcentral's name for it is "partial 16S ribosomal RNA". It matches the Rfam family "Bacterial small subunit ribosomal RNA", at positions 29 to 507 of the family's 1533-position model. The record is from RNAcentral.
AGUGAACGCUGGCGGUAGGCCUAACACAUGCAAGUCGAACGGCAGCACAGUAAGAGCUUGCUCUUACGGGUGGCGAGUGGCGGACGGGUGAGGAAUACAUCGGAAUCUACUUUUUCGUGGGGGAUAACGUAGGGAAACUUACGCUAAUACCGCAUACGACCUACGGGUGAAAGCAGGGGAUCUUCGGACCUUGCGCGAUUGAAUGAGCCGAUGUCGGAUUAGCUAGUUGGCGGGGUAAAGGCCCACCAAGGCGACGAUCCGUAGCUGGUCUGAGAGGAUGAUCAGCCACACUGGAACUGAGACACGGUCCAGACUGCUACGGGAGGCAGCAGUGGGGAAUAUUGGACAAUGGGCGCAAGCCUGAUCCAGCCAUACCGCGUGGGUGAAGAAGGCCUUCGGGUUGUAAAGCCCUUUUGUUGGGAAAGAAAAGCAGCAGGUUAAUACCCCGCUGUUCUGACGGUACCCAAAGAAUAAGCACAGGCUAACUUCGUG